This 352-nucleotide long non-coding RNA is filed under the name Fukomys damarensis (Damara mole-rat). RNAcentral's name for it is "lncRNA (ENSFDAG00000021663.1)". Lineage: Eukaryota; Metazoa; Chordata; Mammalia; Rodentia; Bathyergidae. The record is from RNAcentral.
AUUCAAGGCUGACUCGCUGAUUUGCCUCUCUGAAUUAGAAGCAGCCGCGCAGAAGGUAUCAUCUGCUCAAAUAUUUUCCCACCUGAAUGUCUUGAUGUUUCCAGUCUCUCAACUCCUCUGAAGCAUGACGUGAUUCUGGGAGUGGCCAACAGGGCCAGGGCUCGCGCUGAGAACUUCCACACAAAGACAGAACAAAACAGACAAAACAAACAGAACAAAGCAAUUGGUAAUGUUGUUUGAGAGUCAUUUCUUAACCAUCUCAAAUGAUAGACUGGACUAUAUUUUUUGUUUGAUCAAAAAUCUUGAACUGUAGUCAGAUCUUCAUAAUAUAUGAUGUGCAUACUUGAGCCAA